UUCGGGUUUAGUGGCGCACGGGUGCGUAACGCGUGGGAAUCUACCCUUGGGUUCGGAAUAACAGUUAGAAAUGACUGCUAAUACCGGAUGAUGACGUAAGUCCAAAGAUUUAUCGCCCAGGGAUGAGCCCGCGUAGGAUUAGCUAGUUGGUGUGGUAAAGGCGCACCAAGGCGACGAUCCUUAGCUGGUCUGAGAGGAUGAUCAGCCACACUGGGACUGAGACACGGCCCAGACUCCUACGGGAGGCAGCAGUGGGGAAUAUUGGACAAUGGGCGAAAGCCUGAUCCAGCAAUGCCGCGUGAGUGAUGAAGGCCUUAGGGUUGUAAAGCUCUUUUACCCGGGAUGAUAAUGACAGUACCGGGAGAAUAAGCUCCGGCUAACUCCGUGCCAGCAGCCGCGGUAAUACGGAGGGAGCUAGCGUUAUUCGGAAUUACUGGGCGUAAAGCGCACGUAGGCGGCUUUGUAAGUAAGAGGUGAAAGCCUGGAGCUCAACUCCAGAAUUGCCUUUUAGACUGCAUCGCUUGAAUCAUGGAGAGGUGAGUGGAAUUCCGAGUGUAGAGGUGAAAUUCGUAGAUAUUCGGAAGAACACCAGUGGCGAAGGCGGCUCACUGGACAUGUAUUGACGCUGAG
Molecule: ribosomal RNA, 630 nt
Filed under: uncultured Sphingomonas sp.
Lineage: Bacteria; Pseudomonadati; Pseudomonadota; Alphaproteobacteria; Sphingomonadales; Sphingomonadaceae
Description: bacterial SSU rRNA
Rfam family: Bacterial small subunit ribosomal RNA
Source: RNAcentral